RNAcentral lists this ribosomal RNA (484 nucleotides) under uncultured bacterium. Its description in RNAcentral is "partial 16S ribosomal RNA". It matches the Rfam family "Bacterial small subunit ribosomal RNA", at positions 30 to 507 of the family's 1533-position model. The record is from RNAcentral.
AUUGAACGCUGGCGGCAGGCUUUACACAUGCAAGUCGAGCGGUAGCAGGCAGUCUGCUCCUGGCUUCUGGCGAGCGGGGGAGUAUUAUGCCUAGGAAUGUGCAUGGUUGUGGGGGAACACGGCGGGAACUGUGCUAUAAUCGCGGAUACGCUGUGGGGGAAAACGUGGGACCACUUCGGACUUUUUGGCCUCAGACCUUUCGAGCUCCGAUUAGCUAGUUGGUGGGGUAAAGGCCUACCAAGGCGACGAUCCGUAACUGGUCUGAGAGGAUGAUCAGUCACACUGGGACUGAGACACGGCCCAGACUCCUACGGGAGGCAGCAGUGGGGAAUUUUGGACAAUGGGCGAAAGCCUGAUCCAGCCAUGCCGCGUGUGGGAAGAAGGUCUUCGGGUUGUAAACCGCUUUAGGAUGGAAGGAAAAGCAUUUAGUUAAUACCUGGCGGUUAUGACGUUACCGUCAGAAUAAGCACCGGCUAACUUCGUG